UGGAUGAAGAUUACAUAAAGAUAUUGUAUUUUCCAGAUUUCCUAAAUAUCCUAAUUUACGAAACAAGAAAUUAAGAAACAAUUAGAUUCAGACCAUGAAACGAGAUAAUUCUCUCUUCUGAAGGACGCCUUCUCCUUAUUUAAGCCUGUGCUAAUUACAUUUCGAUGUAUCUUGCUUUCUAUCGAGCAGGAUACCAAACAAUAAUAUUACAUAGAGAUGCAGUACCAACAAUAUUCACUCACAUAUCUCACAUAAGGUAAAGUUAUAACGACCAGAGCCGACACUAUACACUUCUAAAGAAAGUGAACAAGAGGAAAUAUUUUUUUUUUAUCACCAAAAGUCGGAAUUGUUCAGUGCUUCGUAGUCAUUGUAUUCUAACUAUAUUGAAUAAAAAUCUUAUAAAGAA
Long non-coding RNA from Pectinophora gossypiella (pink bollworm), 406 nucleotides. RefSeq lists it as uncharacterized. The record is from RefSeq and is a predicted model, not a curated record. NCBI's taxonomy places the organism in Eukaryota, Metazoa, Arthropoda, Insecta, Lepidoptera, Gelechiidae. The transcript has 2 exons.